RNAcentral lists this ribosomal RNA (253 nucleotides) under uncultured bacterium. Its description in RNAcentral is "partial 16S ribosomal RNA". It matches the Rfam family "Bacterial small subunit ribosomal RNA", at positions 524 to 776 of the family's 1533-position model. The record is from RNAcentral.
UACGUAGGGGGCUAGCGUUGUCCGGAAUCAUUGGGCGUAAAGAGCGUGUAGGCGGCCCGGUAAGUCCGCUGUGAAAGUCGGGGGCUCAACCCUCGAAUGCCGGUGGAUACUGUCGGGCUAGAGUGCGGAAGAGGCGAGUAGAAUUCCUGGUGUAGCGGUGAAAUGCGCAGAUAUCAGGAGGAACACCAAUUGCGAAGGCAGCUCGCUGGGACGUAACUGACGCUGAGACGCGAAAGCGUGGGGAGCAAACAGG